CUGGGUGAAAUUAGUAAGUGUUGUUGCAACACUGACAUGGUUGAAGUCACCUGAGAUUAAUAUGAGUGUACUCAGGUGUUGAGUCUGGAGUUGUGCUAUGGUGAUUUGAAUGGUGUUGCAUGCCAAUGCCGGGUUAGCAGAGGGGGGGAUGUAAACAGCCACAACAAUGGCAUGUGAGAAUUCAUGUGGCAGAUAAUAUGGCCGGAGUCCCACAGCUAACAGUUCAAUGUCCGGGUUACAGAUACUCACAGAUACUUGAUAGUAAUGUGACCAGGGUUACACCAUCUGUUGUUGACCAGCACAGUAAGCCCGCCUUUCCGUUUACCGCUCCCGGCAUGAUCCCUAGCUCAUCCAUUUUAUUUGCCAUUGAUCUCACAUUGCCCAUGACAAGAGAAGGCAGACACGGCUUAAAUCUCUUGUUCUUAAGUCUCUAUUGUCUGGACCCCUCUCUCUUCCUCUCUCUCUGCCUUGCCGCUUUGUUCCACCUCUGCAUCCUCAGUGUGUCCUCCUCCAGUUCUCAGUGGGGACAUUGGUUGUCCUGGGCGCCAUGCUGCUCGGCUUCAGCAUGAUCAGCUGUUCCUAGUGUAAAGAAUGCGGCCAAACAGCUGUUCUGCAGUGGUGCCCUGACCGAGUAGCAGGAGAAGAAGUUUCACGGCGAAAAAAACCCCCCAAAAUAUAUUCUACUCUAAUUUUCAUAAAGAGUGUAGUUUAAAUUACACUUACACAACAGUUACUCAAGUUUUGAAGAAAAAGGAAAGCUAAACAUUGGAAAAAGUAAGACGGCGAGACGGAGCAACGGCAACAGGCAGUCUGCACGUUUGUGCAUGCGCACUAAAUGAUAUACGAUUUUAUCGCGGAUCGGGAUAAAAAACCCUUGUUAAAGGAUAAUUUCUGUAUUUCUUACGUCAGUGGUAAAUUAUAUGUGUGAUAGUUAGCCUCUACUCCCCCGGAUCCCUGUGUGCUCUAGUGUGCUUUUGCUUUCCUUGUGUUUCUUGGGUGUCCCCUGUUCGUUGCUGUUUGUAUGUGUGUGUGUGUGUGUGUGUGUGUGUGUGUGUGUGUGUGUUCUAGUCUGGCUUCCUGGUCUCACACCUGCUGCUGAUCUCCGGCACACCUGACAUCAAUCAUUCAUCAGUCUCCACAGCAUAUCUAUCAGGCUCUACCACACUACCAGCAUGUCUCCAUACACUUAGCUAUUCUCUGCCGGUGAUCACAGCUACAGUCUCCCCUCGGAUCACUGUAAGACUGUCCCUGUACCAACGGCCAUGAUACACUAGCCAGCUGCCUUGCCUGCUCUGCCAACCUCACCUCCUGAGCCUGCUGCCUCUCGGGUCCAACCUACUUCCCCCACGGAUCCGCUGCCUGGCCAGUUCACCAGCCAGUCCAGAGCCUGCUUCCCCUAUCUCCGUCCAGAAUGUUGCCGCGUCCUCUGAGUCGACAGAGAGCUACGCACAGUUAUUAUAACAGCUCCAAUAAAGAUUGUAACUAACUAAA
Siniperca chuatsi (mandarin fish) is the source of this 1491-nucleotide long non-coding RNA. RefSeq lists it as uncharacterized. The transcript is spliced from 2 exons. Lineage: Eukaryota; Metazoa; Chordata; Actinopteri; Centrarchiformes; Sinipercidae. The record is from RefSeq and is a predicted model, not a curated record.